RNAcentral lists this long non-coding RNA (1666 nucleotides) under Phoenix dactylifera (date palm). Its description in RNAcentral is "long non-coding RNA (PDAC_LNC006388)". Lineage: Eukaryota; Viridiplantae; Streptophyta; Magnoliopsida; Arecales; Arecaceae. The record is from RNAcentral.
CCAUCGUCCGCCGAUUCCUUCCACAUCCACGAACAAAGGCCAGAUCAUUUUCCUCCCAUAUCAUCCCAUGUUAUUCUCGUUCCCUAUCCAUGAUUCGACUUCAUCCUCCCCUGCAUUCACGGCAUCCAAACAGAGCCAAACCGUCCGCAUGGAUCCGAUUCCAUCCUCCCAAGGAAUGAAGCAACAUCAGCCCUUCUGGAUCAUCUUCCCAUCUAAGGAACAAAGCCAAGAUCUUCCCCAUUCUCCGUGAUUUAUCCUAAUCUUCCUCCCCGAGCACCACGGAAGAGCUUUUCUUCCGGAUUUCUUCUCUUCCGCAUACAAAACUCCUUCCACGUCAUUUUCUCCCCUGUUUCGGAAUGGAACCACAUGAUCCACGGGUAAACUCAAAUCCCAGCUCCUUCAGUCUGUUUUCUUCCUUCCAUUUGCAAGAACCCAGCGUCCCACAUGAUCCUCUGCAUGAUCAUUUCCCUCCGCGUCCGAGUAUCUCGUGGUCAGCUCGGAUUAGCUCCAUUUCCAGCCGUCUGCGAGGUGUCCACCAGCCAUCAGCCGAAUUCCCAUUAGCUGUCCGUAUCCUCUUCCUCCGAAAUCUUCUCAAACGCUCACAGGAUGAACUCAAAUCCCAUGCUCAUCCCGCUCAGAUUGGUUCCAUCUCCAUGGGAUAAACUUAAAUCCCAGCCUUCAUGGAAGAAAAGAACAGAGUAGCUCACGGAUUUCCUUUUCCGUGAGUUCAUCCCAACUCCCCUUCUUCAUCCAAACUUCCAGCUUAUAUUCCCUCCAUUACCGUUCUGCUCCAUCAACAAAAAUACAAGCUUAUCCCCUGUUUUUCCGAGCAAAUCCUUCUCCCCAAGCAUCACGGAAGAGCUCGCUAUUCCGCAUCCCCUGCUUUGAAACUAUCAUCUUAUCUUCUUCCGAACCAAAUCCAACCCGUCCCAGCUUCAUCUCUUCCGAAUUCCAUGUUAUUCUUCCCCUCCGAGAUCCUCUCAAACCCACUGUUUUCCCAUGCUUCAGCCGUGAGCAUAGUCCCCUGCAUCCACGUCGACAGUUUCCAUGUCUCGGCCGCAUUCAGAAUCUUCUCCCACACGUUGAAGAAGCUCGGCUCCUUCAUUCCCUGGAUUCACGUCAACGGGAUAAGCUACAACUCCGAGAAUCACCCCAGCUUCAACCGCAUCUCGCUUCAUUUCAUCCUUAUCCCCUGCGUGAUAACAGAGGCUGUGAAGGCUAUAAAAGGGAAUCAAUGCAUGCAGGCUAGAGGCAUUCUUCUUCCCCAUCGGGGGCUAAUCCCCAUCAAGCUCGGGAGCUCAUAGGCCAAAUCCCACAGAAACAGAGGAGGGAGAGAAGUUUGGGUCUUUUUGGGAAUGCUUUCUCAAAAGAAAAAAAUAAUGAAUUGCUAGAGAAGGAAGGAGAGAUCCAGGGAAGGGAGGAAGAAAAAAGAAAUGGGAGCCCGCUGCUGUGCCACUGCUGCUGUCGCCCACGACUCCAUGGAAGGCUGAUCUUCUCUCUAGGGCCGGAUGCAGCCCUAACAAAGGGACAUGGAUUUUAUAUUUUAUUUUAUAUUCUUGGGGUUGUAUGAACUUAUUGUUUUCAAUGGAUAUCUUCUUUUGAAUCAUAUUUAAUUUCUGUGAUUUUAAGUAUGAUGUUCGUACAACUGUUCUUCAUGAUCACUAAG